RNAcentral lists this ribosomal RNA (497 nucleotides) under uncultured bacterium. RNAcentral's name for it is "partial 16S ribosomal RNA". It matches the Rfam family "Bacterial small subunit ribosomal RNA", at positions 28 to 507 of the family's 1533-position model. The record is from RNAcentral.
GAUGAACGCUGGCGGCGUGCCUAAUACAUGCAAGUCGAGCGAACAGACGAGGAGCUUGCUCCUCUGACGUUAGCGGCGGACGGGUGAGUAACACGUGGAUAACCUACCUAUAAGACUGGGAUAACUUCGGGAAACCGGAGCUAAUACCGGAUAAUAUAUUGAACCGCAUGGUUCAAUAGUGAAAUACGGUUUUGCUGUCACUUAUAGAUGGAUCCGCGCCGCAUUAGCUAGUUGGUAAGGUAACGGCUUACCAAGGCAACGAUGCGUAGCCGACCUGAGAGGGUGAUCGGCCACACGGGAACUGGGACACGGUCCAGACUCCUACGGGAGGCAGCAGUAGGGAAUCUUCCGCAAUGGGCGAAAGCCUGACGGAGCAACGCCGCGUGAGUGAUGAAGGUCUUCGGAUCGUAAAACUCUGUUAUUAGGGAAGAACAAAUGUGUAAGUAACUAUGCACGUCUUGACGGUACCUAAUCAGAAAGCCACGGCUAACUACGUG